AGUGAACGCUGGCGGUAGGCCUAACACAUGCCAGUCGAACGGCAGCACAGUAAGAGCUUGCUCUUACGGGUGGCGAGUGGCGGACGGGUGAGGAAUACAUCGGAAUCUACUUUUUCGUGGGGGAUAACGUAGGGAAACUUACGCUAAUACCGCAUACGACCUACGGGUGAAAGCAGGGGAUCUUCGGACCUUGCGCGAUUGAAUGAGCCGAUGUCGGAUUAGCUAGUUGGCGGGGUAAAGGCCCACCAAGGCGACGAUCCGUAGCUGGUCUGAGAGGAUGAUCAGCCACACUGGAACUGAGACACGGUCCAGACUCCUACGGGAGGCAGCAGUAGGGAAUAUUGGACAAUGGGCGCAAGCCUGAUCCAGCAAUACCGCGUGGGUGAAGAAGGCCUUCGGGUUGUAAAGCCCUUUUGUUGGGAAAGAAAAGCAGCAGGUUAAUACCCCGCUGUUCUGACGGUACCCAAAGAAUAAGCACCGGCUAACUUCGUG
RNAcentral lists this ribosomal RNA (492 nucleotides) under uncultured bacterium. RNAcentral describes it as "partial 16S ribosomal RNA". It matches the Rfam family "Bacterial small subunit ribosomal RNA", at positions 29 to 507 of the family's 1533-position model. The record is from RNAcentral.